RNAcentral lists this ribosomal RNA (775 nucleotides) under uncultured Neocallimastigales. RNAcentral's name for it is "partial large subunit ribosomal RNA". It matches the Rfam family "Eukaryotic large subunit ribosomal RNA", at positions 22 to 637 of the family's 3401-position model. Lineage: Eukaryota; Fungi; Neocallimastigomycota; Neocallimastigomycetes; Neocallimastigales. The record is from RNAcentral.
CUAUACAUGACUCUGCGCAUAUCAAUAAGCGGAGGAAAAGAAACUAACAAGGAUUCCCUUAGUAACGGCGAGUGAAGCGGGAAGAGCUCAAAUUUGAAAUCUUAAAGGGUCUCCCUUUACGAAUUGUAGUUUAAAGAAGUGUUUUCUGUUGAGGUUUUGGUAAAAGUUCUUUGGAAUAGGACAUCAUAGAGGGUGAGAAUCCCGUAUUUGACCUUUACUUUCAACUUUGUGAUACACUUUCAAAGAGUCGGAUUGUUUGGGAAUGCAGUCCAAAAUGGGUGGUAAAUUUCAUCUAAAGCUAAAUAUUGGCGAGAGACCGAUAGCGAACAAGUACCGUGAGGGAAAGAUGAAAAGAACUUUGAAAAGAGAGUUAAACAGUACGUGAAAUUGUCAAAAGGGAAGCGUUUGACACCAGUGUUGUUUUUCUGAAAAUCAAUUAAAGAACUGUUUAUGCUAAGUUGUUUAGACCUUAUCAGCUAACUGUUUAGUUUUGAGCUUUUCUUUAAUGCACUUUUCAGUUAACAAGUCAACAUCAAUUUCUUUUGCUGUAAAAAAGCUUGAGGAAGGUGGCUUGAGAUUCGUCUUAAGUGUUUAUAGCCUCUUGCCUAUGCAGUCGGGAGAGAUUGAGGUCUGCAGCGUAGAUCCUUCGGGGCUAAAUGCAUUUGUGCUAAGUUAUAGCAUUUUAUAGACAGCUUGUUGACUAUGAUUUGUCUUGUAGCUUACUCGCUUAUGUUAUUUUACCUACGCUUAGGAUGUUGACAGCAGUAUAGACUGU